RNAcentral lists this transfer RNA (67 nucleotides) under Urocyon cinereoargenteus (gray fox). Its description in RNAcentral is "tRNA-Lys". It matches the Rfam family "tRNA". Rfam says of the family: Transfer RNA (tRNA) molecules are approximately 80 nucleotides in length. Lineage: Eukaryota; Metazoa; Chordata; Mammalia; Carnivora; Canidae. The record is from RNAcentral.
CAUUGAGAAGCUAUACAGCAUUAACCUUUUAAGUUAAAGACUGAGGGUUUUAAUCUCUCCUCAAUGA